GAUGAACGCUGGCGGCGUGCCUAAUACAUGCAAGUCGAGCGAACGGACGAGAAGCUUGCUUUUCUGAUGUUAGCGGCGGACGGGUGAGUAACACGUGGAUAACCUACCUAUAAGACUGGGAUAACUUCGGGAAACCGGAGCUAAUACCGGAUAAUAUUUUGAACCGCAUGGUUCAAAAGUGAAAGACGGUCUUGCUGUCACUUAUAGAUGGAUCCGCGCUGCAUUAGCUAGUUGGUAAGGUAACGGCUUACCAAGGCAACGAUGCAUAGCCGACCUGAGAGGGUGAUCGGCCACACUGGAUCUGAGACACGGUCCAGACUCCUACGGGAGGCAGCAGUAGGGAAUCUUCCGCAAUGGGCGAAAGCCUGACGGAGCAACGCCGCGUGAGUGAUGAAGGUCUUCGGAUCGUAAAACUCCGUUAUUAGGGAAGAACAUAUGUGUAAGUAACUGUGCACAUCUUGACGGUACCUAAUCAGAAAGCCACGGCUAACUACGUG
Molecule: ribosomal RNA, 497 nt
Filed under: uncultured bacterium
Lineage: Bacteria
Description: partial 16S ribosomal RNA
Rfam family: Bacterial small subunit ribosomal RNA
Source: RNAcentral